UUUUACAAGACUUCAAUAAAUAAAUAGGGGCUUUUUCACAUUCAGCUGCAGGUACUGAGGACCUGCAUGUAUUGAUCACUUACACUUAUCUGUCUGGAGUGGUAUAUAAACUUCACAUGUCUCAUAGACAUACACCACAUAACUCAUUUUAUUUCACCAGUUAAAUAUAUGUCAAGAUUGUUCAUGAUCAUAGAAUGACACUUGAGUUAAUUAUCAGGCAAUUACCUUUCAUUGUUCCACUUAUUAAUAUUUACCACACAAUUUUGGUAGUUCACUGUAAUGUUCCCAAUUUAAAGUUUGACAGACUAUGACAAUAACUGUAUGUGUAAAAAAAAUACUUAAAAUUUAUGCAUUUCUUUUUUCUAUAUGACAGAUAAUAAGCAGGGCAUGAACGAAGUAUGGAGGAUCUGUUUGAAAAUUCCAGACAUGAGAAAGAAAAUGACAGGGAGAGAUGUCCAGUUCAACGUUACCAGGACAAUUCAGCAAAGUUCUAACAGAUAUAAAAAAUCUGAACUUGAGGCAAAUAUAUACUGUCAUGUAUAUACAUGUAUAUAAGAUGGAUAAAGGACAUGAUACUUUAGCAGUGCUUCAGAGAAUCACAUUUGGCUACAGAAGUUUGUAGUAUUUUGGUUGUAAUCAAGUUAUUAAGCUGAAGCUUCAUAGUAAAACAGAUCUAGGCUACACCUUCACUAUUCAAGUCAGACUUUAAAAGGAAGCCUUUUUUGUUGAUAGCUGAACAUAUGAAGAAACUUUCAAAAGAGUGGAGCAUUUAGAAGACGGAACAAUCAAAUAUUAUUUGUUACUAUUUCAGUAACUUUUCAAAUGUUAACUGUUUAGAAUAUUCUUAAAUAUAAAUAUAAUUGAAUUUAAUGUGGAAAGUGUUUUGUUUUUUUUAACAUUUGGUAACAUAUGCCUCUGUUAGGCACAAUUUUUUAAUCAUAAGCUGAUAAUUUUUAGAUUUGUCAUGGUAAACCUGCAAGGGACACAACUCUUGUAGAAUGAACAUUGUUAAAUAGCUAGUCUGUAUUGAAUUGUUGUUUGGUAUACAUUUGGUUUUGCAUUAUUUUUUUUGCAAUUUCGAAUUCGACUUCUUUUCAAACAUUGUAUAAAUUUAAAAUGUAGCUGACUUUGACAUUGGUAUUCGUACUUUUAGAUUUUUUAUGAAUUGUCAAACAAACGCAAUUAUAAAGCAAGAAUUUCAAACAAACAAAAAAAGAAAUACUAACAGGAAGAUUCGAAAGGUUUCAAACAUGUAGAAAUAGUCUCAUGGUUUAAAUAAGAUUUGGAUUUAUAUAUAUAUAUAUAAGUUUUAAUGGAUGCUAAACAUCCAGCCACAAAUAUUACAUACAUAUUCAGGAUGAUAACAGGUUAAUAAAACAUGCAUAUGAGGUAACUGAUAAUCAAUAUAAGACAAUUUAUUGAUGUAUAACUCACUUUUACAGUACUUUUACCAUAAAGAACCAGAGAAACAUCUUCAAAUAGAGAUGACCAAGAACAAAAAAUGAUAUGUC
Mytilus californianus (California mussel) is the source of this 1511-nucleotide long non-coding RNA. RefSeq lists it as uncharacterized. NCBI's taxonomy places the organism in Eukaryota, Metazoa, Mollusca, Bivalvia, Mytilida, Mytilidae. The transcript is spliced from 4 exons. The record is from RefSeq and is a predicted model, not a curated record.